RNAcentral lists this long non-coding RNA (556 nucleotides) under Trifolium pratense (red clover). RNAcentral describes it as "long non-coding RNA (TPRA_LNC013342)". The record is from RNAcentral. Lineage: Eukaryota; Viridiplantae; Streptophyta; Magnoliopsida; Fabales; Fabaceae.
UAAAUAUAAUUAAGGAGCUACUAGCACCUAUGAAACUACUGCCUCAUUGCUCUUGCUCUUGCUCUUGCUCUAGCUCUAGCUCUUUGAAUUAAUGUAUGGUUUGUUUAAUGUUAAUUUGGUGAUGUUUUUAAUGUGUGCAUGGUUUGUUUAUGUUCAAUGUAGUUUGCUUCCUUUGUUUUUAUUGUUCAGUUUUUAAUUACUUCCCCCUUCAAUGUAGGAAGGGAGGAAGAAGAAGAAGAAUAUGUAUUGUAAGUGUGNNNNNNNNNNNNNNNNNNUGCGUAGUCUGCAGUUAAUGAAAUAUUGCUCUUAUCUUUAAUCUUCUCGGCUGUUAUUUAUUUUUGCAUUCUUUUUGUGGGUUAUAUAUUCAUAUAAUUUUUUAAUUAUUUAUCAAAUAAUUUAAAGAAUAAAAUGACCAUAUAAGAAUAAUUUAUAUACUUCAAUGGCGAACUUUUGCAUCUCAAAUUGAAAUAGAAUUUCACUCCACUAAGUGUAAGCAUUCAUGUAGUCAAUAAUUAUGUAAUUUUAAAUUUAUCAAAAAAACAAAAUUAUCGAGUUU